This 815-nucleotide ribosomal RNA is filed under the name Ophiostoma triangulosporum. RNAcentral's name for it is "LSU rRNA". It matches the Rfam family "Eukaryotic large subunit ribosomal RNA", at positions 49 to 894 of the family's 3401-position model. Lineage: Eukaryota; Fungi; Ascomycota; Sordariomycetes; Ophiostomatales; Ophiostomataceae. The record is from RNAcentral.
AGCGGAGGAAAAGAAACCAACAGGGAUUGCCCCAGUAACGGCGAGUGAAGCGGCAACAGCUCAAAUUUGAAAUCUGGCCUUCGGGUCCGAGUUGUAAUUUGGAGAGGAUGCUUUUGGCGCGGCGCCGUCCGAGUUCCUUGGAACAGGACGCCAUAGAGGGUGAGAGCCCCGUACGGGCGGCCGCCUAGCCUUUGUAAAGCUCCUUCGACGAGUCGAGUAGUUUGGGAAUGCUGCUCAAAAUGGGAGGUAAAUUUCUUCUAAAGCUAAAUACCGGCCAGAGACCGAUAGCGCACAAGUAGAGUGAUCGAAAGAUGAAAAGCACUUUGAAAAGAGGGUUAAACAGUACGUGAAAUUGUUGAAAGGGAAGCGCCUGUGACCAGACUUGCGGCUCGCGGAUCAUCCGGUGUUCUUCACCGGUGCACUCCGCGGACUGCAGGCCAGCAUCGGUUUUCCUAGGGGGACAAAGGUCGCGGGAACGUAGCUCUUUCGGGAGUGUUAUAGCCCGUGGCGUCAUGCCUCUGGGGGGACCGAGGACCGCGCUUCGGCAAGGAUGCUGGCGUAAUGGUCACCGGCGACCCGUCUUGAAACACGGACCAAGGAGUCAAGCAUUGGGGCGAGUGUCUGGGUGCCAAACCCGCACGCGAAAUGAAAGUAAACGCAGGUGAGAGCUUCGGCGCAUCACCGACCGAUCCUGAUGUCUUCGGAUGGAUUUGAGUAAGAGCCUUACCGCUUGGACCCGAAAGAUGGUGAACUAUGCCUGUAUAGGGUGAAGCCAGAGGAAACUCUGGUGGAGGCUCGCAGCGGUUCUGACGUGC